GCGCCUCCCAGCCAUGACGGAGGCGCGGCGUACAGCUCAGUACCACGUGGCUAACCUGCCCUCGGGACGGGAAUACCCCCGGGAAACUGGGGCUAAUCCCCGAUAGGUGAAGAACUCUGGAAUGAUUCUCCGCCCAAAAGACGCUUAAAUCAUGCUUUUAUGCGCCGUCCAAGGAUGGGGCCCCGACCGAUCAGGUAGUUGGUGAGGCAACGGCUCACCAAGCCUUUAACCGGUGCGGGCCGUGGGAGCGGAAUCCCGGAGAUGGGCACUGACACAAGGGCCCAGGCCCUACGGGGCGCAGCAGUCGCGAAAACUUUGCAAUACACGAAUGUGUGACAAGGCUAUCCCGAGUGCCAUCCGUUGAGGAAAGUCUUUUACCCACUAUACAAAGCUGGGAGAAUAAUGAGAGGGCAAGCCUGGUGUCAGCCGCCGUGGUAAUACCAGCUCUCCGAGUGGUGUGGAUGUUU
RNAcentral lists this ribosomal RNA (467 nucleotides) under uncultured archaeon. Its description in RNAcentral is "bacterial SSU rRNA". It matches the Rfam family "Archaeal small subunit ribosomal RNA", at positions 62 to 502 of the family's 1478-position model. The record is from RNAcentral.